CCUACGGGAGGCAGCAGUAGGGAAUAUUGGGCAAUGGAGGCAACUCUGACCCAGCCAUGCCGCGUGAACGAAGAAGGCGCUAUGCGUCGUAAAGUUCUUUUAGAGGGGGCGAAAACACUUGAUUCAUCAAGUACUGACGGUACCUUCGGAAUAAGCACCGGCUAACUCUGUGCCAGCAGCCGCGGUAAUACAGAGGGUGCAAGCGUUAUCCGGAAUCACUGGGUUUAAAGGGUGCGUAGGCGGGAUUAUAAGUCAGAGGUGAAAUCUCGUCGCUUAACGACGGAAUUGCCUUUGAUACUGUUUUUCUUGAAAUUUGUUGAGGUUGGCGGAAUGAGACAUGUAGCGGUGAAAUGCUUAGAUAUGUCUUAGAACACCGAUUGCGAAGGCAGCUGACUGGACAAUAUUUGACGCUGAGGCACGAAAGCGUGGGGAUCAAACAGGAUUAGAUACCCUGGUAGUCCACGCCCUAAACGAUGUUUACUUGCUGUUUGUUUUCGGAAUGAGUGGCGAAGCGAAAGCGAUAAGUAAACCACCUGGGGAGUACGCCCGCAAGGGUGAAACUCAAAGGAAUUGACGGCUGAGAGNGCGACGACGACGACGAGGGAGAGG
RNAcentral lists this ribosomal RNA (609 nucleotides) under uncultured bacterium. RNAcentral describes it as "bacterial SSU rRNA". It matches the Rfam family "Bacterial small subunit ribosomal RNA", at positions 338 to 950 of the family's 1533-position model. The record is from RNAcentral.